UACGUAGGCAGCGAGCGUUGUUCGGAGUUACUGGGCGUAAAGGGUGUGUAGGCGGUUGUUUAAGUUUGGUGUGAAAUCUCCCGGCUCAACCGCGGAUUGUCGUUGGAAACUGCCUCGCUAGAGUCCGGAAGAGGAGAGCGGAAUUCCUGGUGUAGCGGUGGAAUGCGCAGAUAUCAGGAAGAACACCCGUGGCGAAGGCGGCUCUCUGGGCCGGAACUGACGCUGAGGAGCGAAAGCGUGGGGAGCGAACAGG
Molecule: ribosomal RNA, 253 nt
Filed under: uncultured bacterium
Lineage: Bacteria
Description: partial 16S ribosomal RNA
Rfam family: Bacterial small subunit ribosomal RNA
Source: RNAcentral